AUACUUACCUGGAGGGCAGAUACCAUGAUCAUGAAGGUGGUUUUCCUCGGGUGAGGCUUAUCUAUUGCACUCCAGAUGUGCUGACUCCUGUGAUUUCCCCAGAUGUGGGAAACAUGACUGCAUAAUUGAA
Molecule: small nuclear RNA, 130 nt
Organism: Tupaia belangeri (northern tree shrew)
Lineage: Eukaryota; Metazoa; Chordata; Mammalia; Scandentia; Tupaiidae
Gene: U1
Rfam family: U1 spliceosomal RNA
About the family: U1 is a small nuclear RNA (snRNA) component of the spliceosome (involved in pre-mRNA splicing). Its 5' end forms complementary base pairs with the 5' splice junction, thus defining the 5' donor site of an intron. There are significant differences in sequence and secondary structure between metazoan and yeast U1 snRNAs, the latter being much longer (568 nucleotides as compared to 164 nucleotides in human).
Source: Ensembl